GAUGAACGCUGGCGGCGUGCCUAAUACAUGCAAGUCGAGCGAACAGACGAGGAGCUUGCUCCUCUGACGUUAGCGGCGGACGGGUGAGUAACACGUGGAUAACCUACCUAUAAGACUGGGAUAACUUCGGGAAACCGGAGCUAAUACCGGAUAAUCUAUUGAACCGCAUGGUUCAAUAGUGAAAGACGGUUUUGCUGUCACUUAUAGAUGGAUCCGCGCUGCAUUAGCUAGUUGGUAAGGUAACGGCUUACCAAGGCUACGAUGCGUAGCCGACCUGAGAGGGGGGUCGGCCACCUGAGAGCGUAGACGGGGACCAGACGACUGAGAGAGGCAGCAGUAGGGAAUCUGACGCAGUGGGCGGAAGCUUGACGGAGCAGCGCCGCGUGAGAGAUGGAGAUCUUCGGAUCGUAAAACUCUGUUAUUAGGGAAGAACAGAUGUGGAAGUAACUAUGCACGGCUUGACGGUAACUAAUCAGAAAGCCACGGCUAACUACGUG
RNAcentral lists this ribosomal RNA (497 nucleotides) under uncultured bacterium. Its description in RNAcentral is "partial 16S ribosomal RNA". It matches the Rfam family "Bacterial small subunit ribosomal RNA", at positions 28 to 507 of the family's 1533-position model. The record is from RNAcentral.